This is a long non-coding RNA of Brachypodium distachyon (stiff brome), 1108 nucleotides long. RefSeq lists it as uncharacterized. The record is from RefSeq and is a predicted model, not a curated record. Lineage: Eukaryota; Viridiplantae; Streptophyta; Magnoliopsida; Poales; Poaceae. The transcript has 2 exons.
GCUCGUUGCUGGUCGUAGAGGAGGACGCCGAAGACGACGAAGCAGGGUCAGAGUCUCCGUUGGCCGCGUUGUUCUUGGCGGCGCCUGGCUUCUCCUGCUGCUGAUGCUCCUUCUUCUUCGGCGACGCCUUCUUCUUCAGGGCGUGCAGCUUGAUGACGGUCUCUUCCUCCUCGGCGGUGAAGUUGCCGCGCCUCAGGUCCGGCCGCAGGUAGUUGAUCCACCGCAGCCGGCAGCUCUUCCCACACCGCAGUAAACCUGCCAAAAAAAAUAAAAAUAUCCAACAUCCAUAUUCAACUCCCGCUCUCUCCUUUGAUACAUGGAACACACAUUCUGAGGGAGGCGAUCAUGUCAUGGUAACCAGGGGAGCCUGCUGCCUACCUGCUUGCCUUGGGAGGGCGCGCCAGUUGGGGUGGCCGUGCUUCUGGAUGUAGGCGACGAGGCGCAUGUCCUCCUGCGGCGUCCAGGAGCCCCUGUUCAGGCCGACCUUGGCGCAGCACGGUGCCCUGCCACGCCCCAUUUUAUAUGGACAACUCCUCUGCUUGUUCUUGCUCUACUCGGUCUGCUGAAGAAGCUGCCGAGUCCAGGAAAUGGUUGGACGAUGCAGAGCAUGGAUCGAGGGGAGGCACGGGUAUAUAUGCACCGAGAGUCUGAGAGACUGGUCGCCAGUACUGUCUCUGGGCUGGGGGCGGCCUGUGGUGACAGGUGACAAACAAACGCAGCAGUUGGAGGAGACCCCACCGCUCCUCCUACUACCUCCGAGACCAUUUGCGUUCUACCAAACCCCUGUCCCCAGAAAGCAACGUCUUGUUGGCCGCUCCAGCGUCCUCCGGCGUUCGUGGCUCAGGUUUCCCCCCCUGAGAGAUCGAUCGGUCAUGCGCUGCAGGGUCUAGCUCGCAAGCUUAGCUGCCGCUCAACACACUGCUGGUAGCAGUACACCUGGCACGUAUACUUGCUUCAGAUCAGGACGAGGGAUUUCUAAGGAGGAGUAUUUUUUUAGAGUACCCCGAAAGUUUGUAUUAGAGUACUUCGUGAGUGAGUGAUUGGACUUUUUCAUGAUUGGAACUAAAUAGAUUGUGUCUGUUUGUUAUGAAUCCAUCCUUCAAUGUUA